RNAcentral lists this transfer RNA (74 nucleotides) under Lachnospiraceae bacterium. RNAcentral describes it as "tRNA-Met". It matches the Rfam family "tRNA". Rfam says of the family: Transfer RNA (tRNA) molecules are approximately 80 nucleotides in length. Their secondary structure includes four short double-helical elements and three loops (D, anti-codon, and T loops). The record is from RNAcentral. Lineage: Bacteria; Bacillati; Bacillota; Clostridia; Lachnospirales; Lachnospiraceae.
GGACCUUUAGCUCAGCAGGUCAGAGCGUCCGGCUCAUAACCGGAUGGCCGCAGGUUCAAAUCCUGCAGGGUCCA